AGGACGAACGCUGGCGGCGCGCUUAAUACAUGCAAGUCGAGCGGAAAGGCCCUUCGGGGUACUCGAGCGGCGAACGGGUGAGUAACACGUGAGUAAUCUGCCCCUAGCUCUGGGAUAGCUCCGGGAAACCGGGAUUAAUACCGGAUACGACCACCUUAGACAUCUUUUGUGGUGGAAAGAAUUUCGGCUAGGGAUGAGCUCGCGGCCUAUCAGCUUGUUGGUGGGGUAACGGCCUACCAAGGCGACGACGGGUA
This 254-nucleotide ribosomal RNA is filed under the name uncultured bacterium. RNAcentral describes it as "partial small subunit ribosomal RNA". It matches the Rfam family "Bacterial small subunit ribosomal RNA", at positions 26 to 285 of the family's 1533-position model. The record is from RNAcentral.